RNAcentral lists this ribosomal RNA (1559 nucleotides) under Salmonella enterica. Its description in RNAcentral is "partial 23S ribosomal RNA". It matches the Rfam family "Bacterial large subunit ribosomal RNA", at positions 1273 to 2815 of the family's 2925-position model. Lineage: Bacteria; Pseudomonadati; Pseudomonadota; Gammaproteobacteria; Enterobacterales; Enterobacteriaceae. The record is from RNAcentral.
CUGGAGGUAUCAGAAGUGCGAAUGCUGACAUAAGUAACGAUAAAGCGGGUGAAAAGCCCGCUCGCCGGAAGACCAAGGGUUCCUGUCCAACGUUAAUCGGGGCAGGGUGAGUCGACCCCUAAGGCGAGGCCGAAAGGCGUAGUCGAUGGGAAACGGGUUAAUAUUCCCGUACUUGGUGUUACUGCGAAGGGGGGACGGAGAAGGCUAUGUUGGCCGGGCGACGGUUGUCCCGGUUUAAGCGUGUAGGUGUGUGUUCCAGGUAAAUCCGGUUCACUUUAACACUGAGGCGUGAUGACGAGGCACUACGGUGCUGAAGCAACAAAUGCCCUGCUUCCAGGAAAAGCCUCUAAGCAUCAGGUAACAUCAAAUCGUACCCCAAACCGACACAGGUGGUCAGGUAGAGAAUACCAAGGCGCUUGAGAGAACUCGGGUGAAGGAACUAGGCAAAAUGGUGCCGUAACUUCGGGAGAAGGCACGCUGACACGUAGGUGAAGUGAUUUACUCAUGGAGCUGAAGUCAGUCGAAGAUACCAGCUGGCUGCAACUGUUUAUUAAAAACACAGCACUGUGCAAACACGAAAGUGGACGUAUACGGUGUGACGCCUGCCCGGUGCCGGAAGGUUAAUUGAUGGGGUCAGCGCAAGCGAAGCUCCUGAUCGAAGCCCCGGUAAACGGCGGCCGUAACUAUAACGGUCCUAAGGUAGCGAAAUUCCUUGUCGGGUAAGUUCCGACCUGCACGAAUGGCGUAAUGAUGGCCAGGCUGUCUCCACCCGAGACUCAGUGAAAUUGAACUCGCUGUGAAGAUGCAGUGUACCCGCGGCAAGACGGAAAGACCCCGUGAACCUUUACUAUAGCUUGACACUGAACAUUGAGCCUUGAUGUGUAGGAUAGGUGGGAGGCUUUGAAGUGUGGACGCCAGUCUGCAUGGAGCCGACCUUGAAAUACCACCCUUUAAUGUUUGAUGUUCUAACGUGGACCCGUGAUCCGGGUUGCGGACAGUGUCUGGUGGGUAGUUUGACUGGGGCGGUCUCCUCCUAAAGAGUAACGGAGGAGCACGAAGGUUGGCUAAUCCUGGUCGGACAUCAGGAGGUUAGUGCAAUGGCAUAAGCCAGCUUGACUGCGAGCGUGACGGCGCGAGCAGGUGCGAAAGCAGGUCAUAGUGAUCCGGUGGUUCUGAAUGGAAGGGCCAUCGCUCAACGGAUAAAAGGUACUCCGGGGAUAACAGGCUGAUACCGCCCAAGAGUUCAUAUCGACGGCGGUGUUUGGCACCUCGAUGUCGGCUCAUCACAUCCUGGGGCUGAAGUAGGUCCCAAGGGUAUGGCUGUUCGCCAUUUAAAGUGGUACGCGAGCUGGGUUUAGAACGUCGUGAGACAGUUCGGUCCCUAUCUGCCGUGGGCGCUGGAGAACUGAGGGGGGCUGCUCCUAGUACGAGAGGACCGGAGUGGACGCAUCACUGGUGUUCGGGUUGUCAUGCCAAUGGCACUGCCCGGUAGCUAAAUGCGGAAGAGAUAAGUGCUGAAAGCAUCUAAGCACGAAACUUGCCCCGAGAUGAGUUCUCCC